RNAcentral lists this ribosomal RNA (443 nucleotides) under uncultured bacterium. RNAcentral's name for it is "partial 16S ribosomal RNA". It matches the Rfam family "Bacterial small subunit ribosomal RNA", at positions 338 to 795 of the family's 1533-position model. The record is from RNAcentral.
CCUACGGGAGGCAGCAGUGGGGAAUAUUGGGCAAUGGGCGCAAGCCUGACCCAGCAACGCCGCGUGAAGGAAGAAGGCUUUCGGGUUGUAAACUUCUUUUCUCAGGGACGAAGCAAGUGACGGUACCUGAGGAAUAAGCCACGGAUAACUACGUGCCAGCAGCCGCGGUAAGACGUAGGUGGCAAGCGUUAUCCGGAUUUACUGGGGGUAAAGGGCGUGUAGGCGGGAAAGCAAGUCAGAUGUGAAAACCAUGGGCUCAACCUGUGGACUGCAUUUGAAACUGUUUUUCUUGAGUACUGGAGAGGCAGACGGAAUUCCUAGUGUAGCGGUGAAAUGCGUAGAUAUUAGGAGGAACACCAGUGGCGAAGGCGGUCUGCUGGACAGCAACUGACGCUGAGGCGCGAAAGCGUGGGGAGCAAACAGGAUUAGAUACCCGUGUAGUC